This is a long non-coding RNA of Mesocricetus auratus (golden hamster), 542 nucleotides long. RefSeq lists it as uncharacterized. The transcript has 3 exons. Lineage: Eukaryota; Metazoa; Chordata; Mammalia; Rodentia; Cricetidae. The record is from RefSeq and is a predicted model, not a curated record.
GGUCAGUGUGAUCCCCACAGACACAGCAAAUUCUGCCAGAUCAGUGCUUUCGGGACGUGGGCACCAGACGCCCACGUGUGGCUGAGCUGUGGUCCACAGAAGGAAGAGGUAAGGAAAUCAGUUCGAGCUCAUCUUUUGAGAGUAGCAGGGAUACCGCACACAGGGCAACGGAGCCAACCAGGAGCCGAGUGAAGGAAACCCUUCCCGGAGCGGGGGAGCAAUGUUAUCAGCUUGCCAUGCUCUGACACCAGACUUGGCCUUUGCUUCCGUUGCAAUGGGUACAACCAAGAAGCCGUGACCAGGGAGGCAGGAAUUUGCUCGUGGGGACCAAGCGGAAGGCCCCAGCCAAUGGCCUCGGCAACCUUCUUCUCGCUUGCUGAGUGCAUGCGCACGCACGCACGCACGUCACCUCAUCACAAGUCAGCCGAGAAGGCAGAAUUCCAACGACCAUGAAACACCCCAGUCGGCACACGGCAGAUGCAAGCCUGAUUCCCCCCACAUUAAGCAAGUGUAACCUUUAACAAAGCAUAAACCACGGAAGA